RNAcentral lists this ribosomal RNA (1372 nucleotides) under uncultured bacterium. Its description in RNAcentral is "bacterial SSU rRNA". It matches the Rfam family "Bacterial small subunit ribosomal RNA", at positions 28 to 1381 of the family's 1533-position model. The record is from RNAcentral.
GAUGAACGCUGGCGGCGUGCCUAAUACAUGCAAGUCGAGCGAACGGACGAGAAGCUUGCUUCUCUGAUGUUAGCGGCGGACGGGUGAGUAACACGUGGAUAACCUACCUAUAAGACUGGGAUAACUUCGGGAAACCGGAGCUAAUACCGGAUAAUAUUUUGAACCGCAUGGUUCAAAAGUGAAAGACGGUCUUGCUGUCACUUAUAGAUGGAUCCGCGCUGCAUUAGCUAGUUGGUAAGGUAACGGCUUACCAAGGCAACGAUGCAUAGCCGACCUGAGAGGGUGAUCGGCCACACUGGAACUGAGACACGGUCCAGACUCCUACGGGAGGCAGCAGUAGGGAAUCUUCCGCAAUGGGCGAAAGCCUGACGGAGCAACGCCGCGUGAGUGAUGAAGGUCUUCGGAUCGUAAAACUCUGUUGUUAGGGAAGAACAUAUGUGUAAGUAACUGUGCACAUCUUGACGGUACCUAAUCAGAAAGCCACGGCUAACUACGUGCCAGCAGCCGCGGUAAUACGUAGGUGGCAAGCGUUAUCCGGAAUUAUUGGGCGUAAAGCGCGCGUAGGCGGUUUUUUAAGUCUGAUGUGAAAGCCCACGGCUCAACCGUGGAGGGUCAUUGGAAACUGGAAAACUUGAGUGCAGAAGAGGAAAGUGGAAUUCCAUGUGUAGCGGUGAAAUGCGCAGAGAUAUGGAGGAACACCAGUGGCGAAGGCGACUUUCUGGUCUGUAACUGACGCUGAUGUGCGAAAGCGUGGGGAUCAAACAGGAUUAGAUACCCUGGUAGUCCACGCCGUAAACGAUGAGUGCUAAGUGUUAGGGGGUUUCCGCCCCUUAGUGCUGCAGCUAACGCAUUAAGCACUCCGCCUGGGGAGUACGACCGCAAGGUUGAAACUCAAAGGAAUUGACGGGGACCCGCACAAGCGGUGGAGCAUGUGGUUUAAUUCGAAGCAACGCGAAGAACCUUACCAAAUCUUGACAUCCUUUGACAACUCUAGAGAUAGAGCUUUCCCCUUCGGGGGACAAAGUGACAGGUGGUGCAUGGUUGUCGUCAGCUCGUGUCGUGAGAUGUUGGGUUAAGUCCCGCAACGAGCGCAACCCUUAAGCUUAGUUGCCAUCAUUAAGUUGGGCACUCUAAGUUGACUGCCGGUGACAAACCGGAGGAAGGUGGGGAUGACGUCAAAUCAUCAUGCCCCUUAUGAUUUGGGCUACACACGUGCUACAAUGGACAAUACAAAGGGCAGCGAAACCGCGAGGUCAAGCAAAUCCCAUAAAGUUGUUCUCAGUUCGGAUUGUAGUCUGCAACUCGACUACAUGAAGCUGGAAUCGCUAGUAAUCGUAGAUCAGCAUGCUACGGUGAAUACGUUCCCGGGUCU